Molecule: ribosomal RNA, 468 nt
Filed under: uncultured bacterium
Lineage: Bacteria
Description: partial 16S ribosomal RNA
Rfam family: Bacterial small subunit ribosomal RNA
Source: RNAcentral
GACGAACGCUGGCGGCGUGCUUAACACAUGCAAGUCGAACGGCAAGGCCCUGCUUUUGUGGGGUGCUCGAGUGGCGAACGGGUGAGUAACACGUGAGUAACCUGCCCUUGACUUUGGGAUAACUUCAGGAAACUGGGGCUAAUACCGGAUAGGAGCUCCUGCUGCAUGGUGGGGGUUGGAAAGUUUCGGCGGUUGGGGAUGGACUCGCGGCUUAUCAGCUUGUUGGUGGGGUAGUGGCUUACCGAGGCUGUGACGGGUAGCCGGCCUGAGAGGGUGACCGGCCACAUUGGGACUGAGAUACGGCCCAGACUCCUACGGGAGGCAGCAGUGGGGAAUAUUGCACAAUGGGCGGAAGCCUGAUGCAGCAACGCCGCGUGCGGGAUGACGGCCUUCGGGUUGUAAACCGCUUCCGCCUGUGACGAAGCGUGAGUGACGGUAAUGGGUGAAGAAGCACCGGCUAACUACGUG